RNAcentral lists this ribosomal RNA (504 nucleotides) under uncultured bacterium. RNAcentral describes it as "bacterial SSU rRNA". It matches the Rfam family "Bacterial small subunit ribosomal RNA", at positions 28 to 517 of the family's 1533-position model. The record is from RNAcentral.
GAUGAACGCUAGCUACAGGCUUAACACAUGCAAGUCGAGGGGAAACGAUAGAGAAAGCUUGCUUUUUCUAGGCGUCGACCGGCGCACGGGUGAGUAACGCGUAUCCAACCUGCCCAUCACUUGGGGAUAACCUUGCGAAAGUAAGACUAAUACCCAAUGAUAUCUCUAGAAGACAUCUGAAAGAGAUUAAAGAUUUAUCGGUGAUGGACCUGGGGAUGCGUCUGAUUAGCUUGUUGGCGGGGUAACGGCCCACCAAGGCGACGAUCAGUAGGGGUUCUGAGAGGAAGGUCCCCCACAUUGGAACUGAGACACGGUCCAAACUCCUACGGGAGGCAGCAGUGAGGAAUAUUGGUCAAUGGACGAGAGUCUGAACCAGCCAAGUAGCGUGCAGGAUGACGGCCCUAUGGGUUGUAAACUGCUUUUAUAAGGGAAUAAAGUGAGUCUCGUGAGACUUUUUGCAUGUACCUUAUGAAUAAGGACCGGCUAAUUCCGUGCCAGCAGCCG